UUGGUGUCACGUGGUCUUGAACGCUGCAUAGAGACAGCUUGGAACAGCCGCCGAGGGAGCAGAUUGCGGGAGGGUGUCGUUUUUGGACGGAGAUACUGUCGAACAAAAUGGGAGUCGAGAUUGAGACAAUAACCCCGGGCGAUGGAAGGACUUUCCCCAAAAAAGGACAGAAGUGUGUGGUGCAUUAUGUCGGCUCCCUCACCGAUGGACGCAAGUUUGACUCUUCCCGCGACCGCGACAAGCCCUUCAAGUUCAAGAUUGGCCACCAGGAAGUGAUCCGUGGCUGGGAGGAAGGGGUAGUGCAGAUGAGCUUGGGGCAGCGAGCGAAGCUGACUUGCACUCCUGACUAUGCGUACGGCAACAAGGGCCACCCCGGCAUCAUCCCGCCCAACGCCACCCUAAUCUUCGACGUGGAGCUUCUCGGCCUGGAGUGACCGCUUCUCUUCAGCCUCUCUCUUUUUGUUUAGAUUUUUUGGUGAGUGACCGCUUCUCUUCAGCCUCUCUCUUUUUGUUUAGAUUUUUUGUUGGUCUCCUACCUUGGACACUUGUAACGGAGCGAGGGAGUCUGCACUUGAUUAUUAAGAGCCCCGAGUUUAAUCUUCCACCAUCUUGGGUCACUAUUUUAUCCGUAUAGAUCUGUGUUUUUGUCCGUGACUGUUAUUCUCCUCCCUCCACACUCUUCCUAUAAAACUAUGGGCCAUAACCUAACAAACCUCGUGAUGUUCUUAAUCUUGAAAAUACUUAAAAUUGUGGAUUUUUCUUUUUUUUUUUUUUUUCUUUUGCUGUUCUAGUUUGUGCAUGAUCAAGUGAAACUACAACAUACCAAUGAACCAUUGAGCAGAGAUCUCGUUUACACAACAAUGCACAUUCACUCACUUAUUGUCUAUGUGCAAGCACCCAUGUUUGACUUUGAGUUCAAGAUGUAAGGGUAAGGAAAAGCACACGUUGGCAUUCAUACCUCCUCCCAUCUGGAGAACAGAACAAAUAUGAGUUUAGUGCAGGACGUGAGGGCCUAGCCUGUACUGUUAGCUUGCAUAGAGGUGUAGCUUUGAGUCAUCAGUCUAUCCUUUAUGACGUCAAUCAGGAACGCCAUUACAAUGCUAAUUAGAAAUGAAGUUGUGUUUUCCUUUUUAAUUCUGCCCCUUCUAUUUGAAUUAGGUAGUUGUGUUAGUGUCUGUCCAUACACUCGUGGUUUAGUUUGGUAGUGAAUCCGGCAUCCUGACCCUAGUGCCUCUUCAUGAAACAGCCCAAUGACACGGACGUUGUCACAGAGGAACAGUCUUGAAAGAGAAACAAAACAAACAAUUUGCUGUCUUUUUGGUGGAUCUAACUUUGCUUUGUAUUAAUCAAAUAAAUCAAGGUUUUGAAAAUGGAAAUGAUAUCAAUAUACUUACUAAUCAAGAAAACUGUUUAGUGAUUCUUGGAUAUCUGCACAUUUUAGCACUGAAAUCAGACUAAUUUUGCAGCCACUCAUUGAAUGGGCAUGGGGUGUGUAUGUUCCAUAGUUAAGUCCUCUACUGAGUUGACUUUCACUGUGCUCAACUUUUUCCAAGACAUUUUAGCGACUUUAGUAUUCAUCUGGGUAUGUGUGUACUUAGCACACUAAAUUGUGUUUUGCUUUUUUUCCUUGCAGAAAUGUUAUUGCUAAAGUGGGGAAGUAGCUGACCUUUCCCACCUUAUCUAGUUGAAUUACUUGCCAUUAUUUGUAUUUCUCAGAUGCCAACUUUCUAACACAAAGAAAUACUAUUCUAAAGUUGGACUUUAAAUUAUAAAUUUGUUUUUUGAAAGCUGCCACUAUCAAUACUGAUGUGGAACACAUUGCCUAAACAAGUUGUUUGUUUAGUCCGAAUGACAGCUAGGGCAACAAUGUUUUGUAUGAACGAUAAAUGUUUUAAUGAAGAGUUAACAGAAACCUAUAGCUUAAGGAGAUGCUGGCCUUUGCUACUGUUGAAACUCAAGCUAUCUGGAUAUGUGGCUUAAGGGUCCUUUGCUGCACCACUCCUCUGUGUGCUCAGUAACUACCGCAGGCAAAACCAAUGAUGAAAUCAAAAUGUGCCGUUGCAAUAAAGUGCUUUCUACCUGCUUUGAGAAA
This is an RNA transcript of Sardina pilchardus (European sardine), 2092 nucleotides long. It is a transcript of the gene named FKBP prolyl isomerase 1Ab, with no coding region annotated. The record is from RefSeq and is a predicted model, not a curated record. The transcript has 5 exons. Lineage: Eukaryota; Metazoa; Chordata; Actinopteri; Clupeiformes; Clupeidae.